RNAcentral lists this long non-coding RNA (428 nucleotides) under Rattus norvegicus (Norway rat). RNAcentral's name for it is "long non-coding RNA NONRATT009166". Lineage: Eukaryota; Metazoa; Chordata; Mammalia; Rodentia; Muridae. The record is from RNAcentral.
AGCCGGGAGCAGGCACAGCCUAAGGCCCUCGUUACACCGCGGACCUGGCUUUAGCGUGCACCUGGAGUUGGGGCGCUCGGGUUGUGAGAUGGCGACGGCAGCCGAGUCCGGGGCCCGGACCUGGCCGGGCAGUGGUUCCCCACGUCUCGGCAGCCCGGCCGGCAGCCCUGUGCUGGGCAUCUCGGGCCGCGCACGCCCGGGGUCAGGGCCGGAGCGGACUGGCAGAGCUAUCGGCUCCGUAGCACCCGGCCACAGCUUUCGCAAGGUGACACUCACCAAGCCUACCUUCUGCCACCUCUGCUCGGACUUCAUCUGGGGAUUGGCCGGCUUCCUGUGCGAUGUCUGCAACUUCAUGUCCCAUGAGAAGUGCCUAAAGCAGGUGAAGACCCCGUGCACAAGCAUUGCGCCAAGCCUCGUCCGGGUGAGUG